GGCGACGUGGGUGAGUGGUCAAAGCCAAAGGUCUGCAAAACCUUAAGCCGCAAGUUCGAAUCUUGCCGUCGCCU
This 74-nucleotide transfer RNA is filed under the name Chlorobiales bacterium. RNAcentral's name for it is "tRNA-Cys". It matches the Rfam family "tRNA". From Rfam's summary of the family: Transfer RNA (tRNA) molecules are approximately 80 nucleotides in length. Their secondary structure includes four short double-helical elements and three loops (D, anti-codon, and T loops). The record is from RNAcentral. Lineage: Bacteria; Pseudomonadati; Chlorobiota; Chlorobiia; Chlorobiales.